This 173-nucleotide unclassified non-coding RNA is filed under the name soil metagenome. RNAcentral's name for it is "partial internal transcribed spacer 1". The record is from RNAcentral.
CCGAGUUCAUGCCCUCACGGGUAGAUCUCCCACCCUUGUGUAUUUUAUUGUUUGUGUUGCUUUGGCAGGCCGUGGGCCGCGCCCACCACCGGCUCCCGGGCUGGUGCGUGCCUGCCAGAGGACCCUUUUAAACUCUGUUUGUCAGUGUCGUCUGAGUAUGAUAACAAUCGUUA